CUGUGAGGGUUGCUGGAGGUAUCAGAAGUGCGAAUGCUGACAUAAGUAACGAUAAAGCGGGUGAAAAGCCCGCUCGCCGGAAGACCAAGGGUUCCUGUCCAACGUUAAUCGGGGCAGGGUGAGUCGACCCCUAAGGCGAGGCCGAAAGGCGUAGUCGAUGGGAAACGGGUUAAUAUUCCCGUACUUGGUGUUACUGCGAAGGGGGGACGGAGAAGGCUAUGUUGGCCGGGCGACGGUUGUCCCGGUUUAAGCGUGUAGGUGUGUGUUCCAGGUAAAUCCGGUUCACUUUAACACUGAGGCGUGACGACGAGGCACCACGGUGCUGAAGCAACAAAUGCCCUGCUUCCAGGAAAAGCCUCUAAGCAUCAGGUAACAUCAAAUCGUACCCCAAACCGACACAGGUGGUCAGGUAGAGAAUACCAAGGCGCUUGAGAGAACUCGGGUGAAGGAACUAGGCAAAAUGGUGCCGUAACUUCGGGAGAAGGCA
Molecule: ribosomal RNA, 487 nt
Filed under: Salmonella enterica subsp. salamae
Lineage: Bacteria; Pseudomonadati; Pseudomonadota; Gammaproteobacteria; Enterobacterales; Enterobacteriaceae
Description: partial 23S ribosomal RNA
Rfam family: Bacterial large subunit ribosomal RNA
Source: RNAcentral